This 253-nucleotide ribosomal RNA is filed under the name uncultured bacterium. Its description in RNAcentral is "partial 16S ribosomal RNA". It matches the Rfam family "Bacterial small subunit ribosomal RNA", at positions 524 to 776 of the family's 1533-position model. The record is from RNAcentral.
GACGGAGGGGGCUAGCGUUGUUCGGAAUAACUGGGCGUAAAGGGCACGUAGGCGGUUUAACAAGUCAGACGUGAAAGCCCUAGGCUUAACCUAGGAACUGCGUUUGAUACUAUUAAACUUGAGUUUGGGAGAGGAAAGUGGAAUUUCUAGUGUAGAGGUGGAAUUCGUAGAUAUUAGAAGGAACACCAGAGGCGAAGGCGACUUUCUGGACCAAUACUGACGCUAAUGUGCGAAAGCGUGGGGAGCAAACAGG